AGAGACAUCAGCACCACUGCAGGGAUAAGUAAGGUCAUCUCAUUCUAGACUUCAGAAAUCUGAAAGGGUUUAUGAAUGUGAGGGUUUGUGAGUGUCCAAAUCACACAGUCACAUUGGAGUUUGCACUGCAACAGAUGCCUGAAGAAAUGCACUGCUGUCAAAGCUGCUCUCCUACGUGUAUUCUCUGGUGUCACACCACAGGCACCCAACCAUGAAACCACAAGUCACCCAACCAUGAAACAGUAACUGGACUGUGUUGGACCCCGUGCUCAAUUCAUUUUCAUUUCUCUGUUAACACAGUUAAAGCAGCUGAAGGCCAGCAGGUAUAGUGUGAAACGUAUUUUGGUCUGAAGAGUCAUAGUCUGUGCACACAAACAUAAUGUCACAACCUUGUGCAAGUGCUGUACAGCCCACAGAGAACCAUGAAGUUCUCACAUCCUGACAUCUGAUGAGAAGAGUUGCACUAAAUGACACACAGCAGUAAUAAGAAACACACAACAAGUAAGGUCAAUAGAUACCCGUGAGUUUGUCAUGGCAAUCAAUCUAGAUGAAGCAGUAAAGAAGUGGCAGAUAUGACCAAAUAUCACAGCCUGGCCAAAAGAAUGCAGUUUAUUAGGUGGAUUUUGUUGCACCUGCAUUCAAGGUUCAGUCAUUCCUCAACAGUUGGUGACCACAACGUCACAAUUCAGUGAUGGACUUAAAAGGAGGCAGCUGUCACCAGCUGGAGGAGAGAUUCACAGCUAGCCAGACUACGCUAAAAUAUGCUGAGAGCAGCUUAACACCAGCUCCUCUUUCUCUCACCCCUUCACCUCCUUGCUUGUUUCUUAUUCUUACACCCUAUAUUUCAGGCCAUGCCCUUUGGGGACAUUUCCUCUGUCUCUCUCCUGUGCCUGUGGCAACACAAGUCCCACCCCUACAAAAGGUGUCCGCACGCUCUCACAGAGAAAGUGUUGGUGUGAGACGACAAAACCAUCCUGCUAUUUCAGCUCAUAAGUAUUCCCGUGUACGACGGCAGCACCCAAACGGGAUCCUGUUAUUUCAGCUGGAUUUGUUCACAUUCAUUUCACUUACAAAAGGACAGAGAAAGAGUUUGCUGUUUCCUUCAUCGGAUGUGACAAGGUGCAAUGCAUAAUGAAGAAAAUGCCAUAAUUGCUCAAUAAAGGCACUUUAUUAAG
RNAcentral lists this long non-coding RNA (1175 nucleotides) under Phasianus colchicus (ring-necked pheasant). RNAcentral describes it as "lncRNA (ENSPCLG00000021867.1)". The record is from RNAcentral. Lineage: Eukaryota; Metazoa; Chordata; Aves; Galliformes; Phasianidae.